This 474-nucleotide ribosomal RNA is filed under the name uncultured organism. RNAcentral describes it as "partial 16S ribosomal RNA". It matches the Rfam family "Bacterial small subunit ribosomal RNA", at positions 331 to 797 of the family's 1533-position model. The record is from RNAcentral.
GUACACUCCUGCGGGAGGCAGCAGUAGGGAAUCUUCCACAAUGGGUGCAAACCUGAUGGAGCAAUGCCGCGUGAGUGAAGAAGGUCUUCGGAUCGUAAAGCUCUGUUGUUAGAGAAGAACACGUGCUAGGUAACUACUAGCGCCUUGACGGUAUCUAACCAGAAAGUCACGGCUAACUACGUGCCAGCAGCCGCGGUAAUACGUAGGUGACAAGCGUUGUCCGGAUUUAUUGGGCGUAAAGGGAGCGCAGGCGGUUUGUUUAGUCUAAUGUGAAAGCCCACGGCUUAACCGUGGAACGGCAUUGGAAACUGACAGACUUGAAUGUAGAAGAGGAAAAUGGAAUUCCAAGUGUAGCGGUGGAAUGCGUAGAUAUUUGGAGGAACACCAGUGGCGAAGGCGAUUUUCUGGUCUAACAUUGACGCUGAGGCUCGAAAGCGUGGGGAGCGAACAGGAUUAGAUACCCCGGUAGUCCCA